This 208-nucleotide long non-coding RNA is filed under the name Elaeis guineensis (African oil palm). RNAcentral's name for it is "long non-coding RNA (EGUI_LNC028197)". The record is from RNAcentral. Lineage: Eukaryota; Viridiplantae; Streptophyta; Magnoliopsida; Arecales; Arecaceae.
GAAACGAAACAUCGAAUUAAAAGUCAGAAAUAAGUCACAUUGGAACUAAGGCAUUGUUGACGUAGACCAAAUCCAGAUAAAUUUCAUGUCAUGAUUUUGGAGCUAGGUCUAACUCACUAGCUAGACUGAUUACAUCAGGUUGAUUCUGAAAUCAUGAUUCAAAAAAAAAAACUAGGGGGCUUGAAUCAUACUUGCUUAGAUCCAGGUC